ACUGAGAAUGAGGGAACAGCGACAAGUGAACCAGCCCGAGGACUGAGAGUACCCACUGAAGAGAACCCUCUGACUCAGAGUUUUCAUUGAUUCAGUCAGGAGAAAGUUUGGGCAUCAUCAGCAGGUGGAGCUGUCCUGCACCGGGACCAAAGUGCAAACCAGACGACGACAAUCAGCAAUCUUCAGAAUGGACACAGUUGGGAAAUUGAAACGAGCAGCGAAGAGACUGAAGAGGAUUUUACCAGGCGGAUCAGCAAGGGAAG
Molecule: long non-coding RNA, 263 nt
Organism: Hypanus sabinus (Atlantic stingray)
Lineage: Eukaryota; Metazoa; Chordata; Chondrichthyes; Myliobatiformes; Dasyatidae
Exons: 3
Source: RefSeq, a predicted model, not a curated record